Molecule: ribosomal RNA, 484 nt
Filed under: uncultured bacterium
Lineage: Bacteria
Description: partial 16S ribosomal RNA
Rfam family: Bacterial small subunit ribosomal RNA
Source: RNAcentral
AUUGAACGCUGGCGGCAGGCCUAACACAUGCAAGUCGAGCGGAUGAAGGGAGCUUGCUCCUGGAUUCAGCGGCGGACGGGUGAGUAAUGCCUAGGAAUCUGCCUGGUAGUGGGGGAUAACGUCCGGAAACGGGCGCUAAUACCGCAUACGUCCUGAGGGAGAAAGUGGGGGAUCUUCGGACCUCACGCUACAAGAUGAGCCUAGGUCGGAUUAGCUAGUUGGUGGGGUAAAGGCCUACCAAGGCGACGAUCCGUAACUGGUCUGAGAGGAUGAUCAGUCACACUGGAACUGAGACACGGUCCAGACUCCUACGGGAGGCAGCAGUGGGGAAUAUUGGACAAUGGGCGAAAGCCUGAUCCAGCCAUGCCGCGUGUGUGAAGAAGGUCUUCGGAUUGUAAAGCACUUUAAGUUGGGAGGAAGGGCAGUAAGUUAAUACCUUGCUGUUUUGACGUUACCAACAGAAUAAGCACCGGCUAACUUCGUG